UGAGCCCAGAGAGGAUCCUGUGACUUCAUUUCUUAAGAACUUCCCUAAGCCAGCCCAUAAAACCCAGACAACCUGAGGGAUGCAGACAAAGGACUGAGACUCAGAGAGACUAAAUGACUGUAUAUUCAGUGGUACAUGUGGUUUUCAUCCUCCUCAGCAUAAGUGCCACAGAGCCCAAUGUGACUUGGAGUGUAUCCUAUUCUGUGAUGAGUACUUUCUCCACUGGACAUAUCCCAAAGCCACGUGGCCUCAUUCUCUUAAUACGGAGAACUCUACCAUUGACUCACAGAACCUAGGAAACUAAGGCAGUGUGGAAUUCAUUCACUGCUCAAGAAUGGGAAGGAAGGCUCCGAUCCUGCUCAACUGAGAGCAGCUACAGAUGACUUACCUGCUCCUUCAGGGCUGAAAGCUGAUGUUAGAAUCACCUUCCUUGGAAAUAAUCCCCAUUGACUAGAAGGAAGAAAUGUUAAAUCAUGAGGAGCCUCUGCCAUGGAGAUGGUCCUUGAUGACUAAGGGGAAUAAACAUUAAAUUGUUGUGAA
This is a long non-coding RNA of Mesocricetus auratus (golden hamster), 540 nucleotides long. RefSeq lists it as uncharacterized. NCBI's taxonomy places the organism in Eukaryota, Metazoa, Chordata, Mammalia, Rodentia, Cricetidae. The record is from RefSeq and is a predicted model, not a curated record. The transcript has 3 exons.